Long non-coding RNA from Fundulus heteroclitus (mummichog), 779 nucleotides. RefSeq lists it as uncharacterized. NCBI's taxonomy places the organism in Eukaryota, Metazoa, Chordata, Actinopteri, Cyprinodontiformes, Fundulidae. The transcript has 3 exons. The record is from RefSeq and is a predicted model, not a curated record.
CUCUCACCAAGCUUGAAGGGGACACUGGAAAAAAAGAAAGGCAGGGAGGAGUCAGGCAAAGACUGUUGGAGGGAUUUACUUUUCACCUGCCUCUCUGCGGAGGGAGACAGCUGACCCCGGGGCGACCCCGCAGCCAGCAAACAGCCUCACCUGAUAAAGCUGACCCGCAUCCGAGACCUGAGUCAUCAGACCGCCGCGCUCUGAGCAGAGCACCCGACCUCGUCUCCCAUCAUCAUCAUCAUCAUCAUCAGUGAGUACGCUGCGAGAGCACCCGGCCUCAGCGUGGGAAAUUAAGCAUGUGAAUGCACAACAUUUCAGGCUAGAGCGAUCACGGAGCAGAGCAGAGGGAGAAGUAGGAAAGAGGAAGAGGUGUAAUUACCAAAAGGAACGAGAAGAAAAAAAUAACCCCCCCCCCAGCUGACUCAUUUCAUCUGCAGCCGCACUCUAGCAUGGAGGAAAAGCGGCUGCUGAACUUUGAUUAACAGCUCCCAUUUCCUGAUUGCAGAGGUGACUCUCACAAGGACGAUGAAAGUGGAAAAGAGGGAGCGUUAAUCAAGAGGUGUUCAGGUUGAGGAAGCGUGUGACUGAUUGGAACAAAGGAAAUAGGAAUCGUGAGGAGUGUCCUAUCCAUGCAUCCAUCUAGUCUGCUUGUCUGAGACCGUCAGGCCCAAACAAGAAGUGAAAGGGUUAUUCUGCACAGCUACCCCUGGCCUAAAUGAUUGGGUUUGAGUUGGAUUUUAGUCAUUAAAGCUGCAUGGGCUGAGCUAAUAAAGUAAAGU